This 1818-nucleotide long non-coding RNA is filed under the name Podarcis lilfordi (Lilford's wall lizard). The record is from RNAcentral. Lineage: Eukaryota; Metazoa; Chordata; Lepidosauria; Squamata; Lacertidae.
GCCUGCUUCGCGCCAGCGACGGCCUGUUGCCCCACCGUCGCCUCCGCCCGCCUCGAGGCGCGGAGGGAUCAGGGAGGUCACUCCCAGGGACGCCGGCUUGGAAGUCCUGCCCCCUGUGAUCCCGUUUGUGGGUAGCGGGAAAGCACUCUGCACUUGCUCAGAUGCUCUCUUGUUAGUGCUUAGCGCCGAGUAUAUGUUCCAUGGUUUGAGACCUGGAGAUUCUGAAGUGCUAAAUUGGACAUAGCGACGCGCAGGCUGGUAAUUUUCUUUAUUUUCACAUUUGUAUCGCACAUGAGCAUAAGGUUCUUAAUCUCAGGGUCGUGGGUUUGAGCAAAAGAUUUCUGCAUUGCAGGGGGUUGGACUAGAUGACCCUCGUGAUCCCUUCCAACUCUGUGAUUCUGUUAUUUCCUCCCAAGGAGCUUAAGGUGUCCCAAUAGGGUUCUCUCGUUGCAACUCUUAUUUAGCCUCUUUGUCAGCCUAGCCAAAGAUCAGGGGUUAUGGGUGUUGUAGUCUCCAAAAAUACCUAGAAGGCCACAGGUUCGCCGUACCUGUUACACACUGUCGUGGGCUCUGCAGACCCUCCAAGUGCCCCUAUUUUCAAGGAACAUCCCCAAUUUAGAGAAGCCGUCCUGGUUCCUGAUUUGAUCUUGCAAUGUCCCACUUUUCCUGAUGGUGUCCCUAUUUUCGCUGGAGAAAUGUUGGAGGGUAUGGAAUUAUCCGACCCCCAAGCUGUCUGAAGGCAAUCCUGUAGCUUUCCUGAAGCUUUUUUAAUGUUUAAUGUUUUAUUAUGUUUUUAUAUAUGUUGGAAGCUGCCCAGAGUGGCUGGGGGAGCCCAGUAAGAUGUAUGGAGUAUAAAUAGUAAAAUUAUAAUUAUGAAAAGGGACGUCCCUCUUUUCAAUGGAGAAAUGUUGGAGGGUAUGUGCCUGUUGUAUUUCUUUAUUCUGCAACAGCUUGUCUCUCCACUGAUUUCAAUACAAGAGGAUUCUAAUAUUUUGGUUAAAUAUAUGUGGGGUAUGUGUGUUAAUUGCCCUUCAGUAUGUUUUCAGCAUUUAAAAUAUCCACCAGCAGAUGUAGUGUGUGAAAUGACAGGCUGUGCACCGCAUGGUGCCAUAGUGUUCAAGUGCAUGCAUGUGCUCUUAGAAAACAAGAAACAGUCACCCACCCACUCAGAAAUGGAAUAGAGGCCUUGGGACACUCUUUCCCACCUGCCUGAUUUAUUUUUUAUUUUUGGACUACAACUCCAAUUAGUUCCUGCCAGUGUGGCCAGUGAUCAGGGAUGCUGGGAGCUGUAGUCCAAAAUAUCUGGAAGUCAGCAAGGGAAGAAGUGGAACAAUUAAAAAUGGGCAAGGCCCAGAGUCACAGGGAAGGCCCGGCCAGAUGGGCGGGGUAUGAGUAAUAAGUUAUUAUUAUUGUUGUUGUUAUUGUUGUUGUUAUUAUUUAUUAUAAGGCAAUUAGCUCACACUAGUGUGUGUGUGCAUUAGUAUGUAUUUAUUAAAAAAUGUUUUUAUACCACUUUUUAUUUAAAAAUCAUAAAGCAGUGUACAGCAGAAUAUAAAAACUACCACAAAACCACAACCUGUAUUGUAAUAACAACAAUAAUAGUUAAUCCAAUGCAAAAAGAUUAAAAACAGACAGAUAAUAAUUGCCAACAAAGGUUUGGGGAAAUAAAAGAGUUUUCAAUAGGCAUUGAAACACCAACAAUAUGCCAUAACUCAGAGAGAAGUUUGCAUCUAUAUUGCAGUUGUUGCAUGUUAAAGGAGACUCAUUUGAUUAAUCAUUUUGAGUUUUGUUUAGUUAAGCAAUACAUUCAUCAAUUUA